UUGAACGCUGGCGGCAUGCUUUACACAUGCAAGUCGAACGGUAACAGGCCGCAAGGUGCUGACGAGUGGCGAACGGGUGAGUAAUGCAUCGGAACGUGCCCAGUCGUGGGGGAUAACUAAUCGAAAGAGUAGCUAAUACCGCAUACGAUCUAUGGAUGAAAGCGGGGGACCGUAAGGCCUCGCGCGAUUGGAGCGGCCGAUGUCAGAUUAGGUAGUUGGUGGGGUAAAGGCUCACCAAGCCAACGAUCUGUAGCUGGUCUGAGAGGACGACCAGCCACACUGGGACUGAGACACGGCCCAGACUCCUACGGGAGGCAGCAGUGGGGAAUUUUGGACAAAGGGCGCAAGCCUGAUCCAGCAAUGCCGCGUGCAGGAAGAAGGCCUUCGGGUUGUAAACUGCUUUUGUACGGAACGAAACGGCUCUGGUUAAUACCCGGGGCUAAUGACGGUACCGUAAGAAUAAGCACCGGCUAACUACGUG
This 481-nucleotide ribosomal RNA is filed under the name uncultured bacterium. RNAcentral describes it as "partial 16S ribosomal RNA". It matches the Rfam family "Bacterial small subunit ribosomal RNA", at positions 30 to 507 of the family's 1533-position model. The record is from RNAcentral.